RNAcentral lists this ribosomal RNA (325 nucleotides) under Peribacillus simplex. Its description in RNAcentral is "bacterial SSU rRNA". It matches the Rfam family "Bacterial small subunit ribosomal RNA", at positions 1 to 318 of the family's 1533-position model. The record is from RNAcentral. Lineage: Bacteria; Bacillati; Bacillota; Bacilli; Caryophanales; Bacillaceae.
UUCGGAGAGUUUGAUCCUGGCUCAGGACGAACGCUGGCGGCGUGCCUAAUACAUGCAAGUCGAGCGAAUCGAUGGGAGCUUGCUCCCUGAGAUUAGCGGCGGACGGGUGAGUAACACGUGGGCAACCUGCCUAUAAGACUGGGAUAACUUCGGGAAACCGGAGCUAAUACCGGAUACGUUCUUUUCUCGCAUGAGAGAAGAUGGAAAGACGGUUUACGCUGUCACUUAUAGAUGGGCCCGCGGCGCAUUAGCUAGUUGGUGAGGUAAUGGCUCACCAAGGCGACGAUGCGUAGCCGACCUGAGAGGGUGAUCGGCCACACUGGGA